UAGUGCUUACAGCUCUUUUCAAAUUUGUCUAGUAGGUUGUCUCGUGUUUACCGGAAGGCUGCU
Molecule: small nuclear RNA, 63 nt
Organism: Pteropus vampyrus (large flying fox)
Lineage: Eukaryota; Metazoa; Chordata; Mammalia; Chiroptera; Pteropodidae
Gene: U7
Rfam family: U7 small nuclear RNA
About the family: Animal histone pre-mRNAs are spliced by a different mechanism than nuclear pre-mRNAs and self-splicing introns. This processing involves the U7 snRNP, which contains only one RNA species: U7. The 5' end of U7 RNA is thought to base-pair to a conserved spacer element downstream of the cleavage site in histone pre-mRNA.
Source: Ensembl